AAUGAGAUGUGUUUAAUUUCUUACUAUUUCUUUCUGAAUUUGGUUUGCAGAGGAUCAUAAAAAUGAGAAAGAACAAGCUGAACUUGAGCCGCUGGCCCUCAGGCUCAGCAGGGAGCUGCAGGAGAAGGAAAAAGUGAUUGAAGUCCUGCAGGCCAAGCUGGAUGCCCGGUCUCUUUCGCCCCCCAGCAGCCAUGCCUUGUCUGACUUCCACCGCUCUCCCAGUAGCACUUCCUUCUUAUCUGAUGAGCUGGAAGCCUGCUCUGACAUGGACAUAGCCAGCGAGUAUACACACUGUGAAGAGAAGAAAGCUUCACCUGGUCACUCAGAUUUCAUCCAUCAUUCAAGUCUUUCUGCUGUAUUGUCUUCUAAACCAUCAGUAACCAGUGCUUCACAGGGGGUUAAGGCCGAGUCCAGCAGCAACCCCAUCAGCUUGCCAACUCCCCUGAAUGCCCCCAAGGAGGCCAACCAGGCCCAUCCAGGCUUUCAUUUUAACUCCAUACCCAAGCCGGUUAGCCUCCCCCAGGCUCCAUUGCCCUCAGCUCCAUCCAGUUUCCUGCCCUUCAGCCCCCUUGGUCCUCCCUUCCUUGGCUGCUGUGAGACACCAGUGGUGUCCUUGGCUGAGGCUCAACAGGAGCUGCAGAUGCUGCAGAAGCAGUUGGGAGAAAGUGUCAGCAGUGUUCCUCCAGCUUCCACAGCCACGUUGCCAGGCAGCCAUUCAGAAACCAGCUCUUCCCACUACCUCAACCCUGCCCAGUCCCACUCUCCAAUGAGGGGUGCCAUGGAAUUGGGCAGAAUUCUGGAUCCUGGGUACCUGGGUAGCAAUGGCCAGUGGGAUAUCAUGAGACCUCAGAAAGGGAGUGUCUCUGGGGACAUCUCUUCAGGUUCUUCAGUGUAUCAGCUUAACUCCAAACCCACAGGGGCUGACCUACUGGAAGAGCAUCUUGGUGAAAUCCGGAACCUGCGCCAGCGGCUGGAAGAGUCCAUCUGCAUCAAUGACCGCCUGCGGGAGCAGCUGGAACACCGGCUCAGUUCCACUGCCCGUGACAGUGGAUCCACCUCUCACUUCUACAGUCAGAGCCUGGAAUCUAUGCCUCAGCUCUACAAUGAGAACAGAGCCCUCAGGGAAGAAAACCGGAGCCUUCAAGCUCAGCUGAGUCACGUUUCCAGAGGGCACUCACAGGAAACAGAAUGCCUGAGGGAGGCUCUGUUCUCCUCUCGAUCCCGCCUUCAAGAGCUGGAAAAGGAGCUGGAGCAGCAAAAGGUGGAGCGGCAGCAGCUUCUAGAAGACCUGCAGGAGAAGCAACAGGAGAUCUUGCACUUCAGGGAGGAACGUCUGUCCCUCCAGGAAAAUGACUCCAGACUGCAGCACAAGCUGGCCCUCCUGCAGCAGCAGUGUGAAGAGAAACAGCAGCUCUUCCAUUCCCUGCAGUCGGAGCUACAGAUCUAUGAGGCACUUCAUGGAAAUUCUAAAAAAGGACUAAAAGCUUUCAGCCUGGAUGGCUGUCACCAAGUUCCUUUGAACAGUGACUUGAACCACCUGGUGGCAGAGAUACGAGCUCUGAGAGGGCAACUAGAACAGAGCAUUCAGAUGAACAAUUGUCUGCGGCUAAAGUUGGAGCAGCAGUUAGAUGGUGGUACUGGCAAAGGCAGCCUCAGCCCCUCCACUGUGAGCCAGAACUUCCCAACCAACCCUGACCCUGGAAAUAAGCAGUCACACUUUCAAGAUUCAGUUACUUCCCCUCCAGUUCGUGAUGUUGGCAUGAAUUCUCCUGCUCUGGUCCUUCCCAGCUCUUCUUCCUCUUCUCCUGGCUCAGACACUGCCAUUGUCACCAGGAAAAAUGAGCUGGAAUCAGAUGCUCCUCCAGGAAUGAAGAACUCUCCCAAGCUGGAGGGUGAUGCUACGGAUGGCUCCUUCGCCAACAAAAAUGGCCGCCAUGUCAUAGGCCACAUCGAUGACUAUACUGCUCUCAGGGAGCAGAUUGAGGAGGGAAAACAGCUGGUGCAAAAGAUCCUGUCUCUCCUGAGGCCCACAUGCAACUUCCUGGGCCUUGAAUCUCAGAGCUCAGAGGCACCAGGCAACAAAGGAGUUCAUGAGCUACGCAGCAGUCUCAGUGCCCUGCACCACACCCUAGAAGAGUCAGCCUCCCUCCUGACCAUGUUCUGGCGAGCGGCCCUGCCAAGUUCCCAAGGCCCCACAUUGCCUGGCAAAGCAGAUGAAUCAAUGGAAAGGGAGCUCCUGGAUCUGCGAGCCCAAGUAUCCAAACAGGAGAAGCUCCUUCAGACCACAGCUGAGCAUCUGAAGACUGCCAACCAGCAGAAGGAGAACAUGGAGCAGUUCAUCGUCAAUCAGUUGACCAGGACACAUGCUGUUUUGAAGAAGGCAAGGACUAAUUUGGAGGUGAAAUCUCUAAGGGCCCUGCCGUGCGCUCCAGCCUUGUGACCCUUGCCUUCCAGGAGCCACGCAAGAAGCAAAGCCACCACAGGUCCUUAAAGCAUCAGGAAGAACAGGCCUGCCCCUCUUUUGCACAACUACCUGUCUGCUGAGGAGAAUCUGGGCUUGAUUCCUCUAAAUCUGCUGGAGGUCUGAAGAUGCAGUCAGAGAUGUGUCCUUGUGGGGUAGGCAGAAAGGUAGAAUGACUUCCUGGCAGUGAUGGAAUAACAGUAGCCAAAUCCCCCUGGGCCCAGCAUUAAGCAAAGCGCGUGUGAGAUUGCGUAGUAGCACUUGUGACACUGCUUCUGAACAGCCUCAGUGGCACAGCACCUGCCAGAGCAUGGUUCUCAUCCCAACAGCUGUCCUCAGAUGGUCAACGCGAAGGAAAUAGUUGCCUUCUACACAUGGGACAUGUGAUCCCCAUGCUGAAGCUCCUCCACAGUUAUAGAAGCACACUACUGAGCAGCAGUGCCCUGAUGGACAGUGUCAGUGGGGUUCAGCGAGCACUGCUCACAGAUCCACACCUAACCAGGUAGCUCCUCUGGGCCAAGUCAGGCUGGGCUUCAUGCUGUACCACCAGUUCUGAGAGCUUUGAUUCUGUGUGGGGAAUUGGUGACUUGUUAGAUGCCCUGUCAUGCUUAGCCUAGCAUGAUCUUCUUCAUUUCUUACAUGUUCUCCAAACUGUACUGUCCCUACCCCCAUUAGGUAUGUUAUCCCUUUGUCAUCCUAACUUCCCUCAGGCAAAUUGGGAACUGAUGGCCAUACCAAGCCUAUGGAAAGUCUUGCAUAUAGCAGUCCUCUGCUUGUUUUUAAGUGGUCUGGGCAAGGCCCUAGUUGUACUGAAGCCUAGUCUGUGUCUUCAGAGUGCUCCUAGGAUGUGGGUAUGUGUGUAUAAAUGUAUGAUAGAGAUUUAUUUAUGUUGCUGUAGCAAUAUGUUGAAGGCCAACAUAACUCAUGGAUGGGGAGGAUGAGAGGAAACAACAAUCUUUUUUGGGUGGCUAUUAAAGAAAUAUGUGUAUAAGGAAAUAGUUUUUCUUUGUUUUGUUUUGCAUUUCUACACCAUUUCCCAGAACAAGUGUAUCAGAAUAGGAAAGACAAACUGUCAUGAAAAAAUAAUAGUCUAAUCCAUAAAGUCUAAGUUUAAAAAUUCAUUUUUCCUCUAUUUUACGAAAAUUUCCAAUAUACAUGAUAGAGUGAUCCUUAAACUUGAUUUGCCUUACAGUUUUCACAGGGAAGACAUAUUUUGCUGUUUGUUGUGUUCCAUUAAAACUCAGGAGUUAGGAUGGCAAGGGAAAUAAAGGUUUCUUGCAAUAAUGGAUUUGAGCAAGAUAGAGAACAUUUUCUUUCUCAACUCUCCAUCGUUUGUGACUCAGGAGCAUGAAAAGCUUUUAUAAGAGCUAUGGGGUGCAGUAGGACGAAAGGAAGGAAAUAUCCAUGUGUAUAUCUAGCUAGGCUGUGUUAAUCAGAAACAUGUCUCAGACUCAGUUCCUCUGGGCAGUGCCCUCAGGUCCAGGGAAGUCCCUCAGACUCCAUUUUCAGCUUAAGGAAAAUCAGAAGUUAAAAGGCUUUGGAGCUGUUAAUUUCAAAUGCAGUCUGUUUCACAAAUCAGUUGUGAAGAUUGUGGGAGCAAUUUCCUGGGAUGAAAUGCCAAGAACUUUUGUGGGUGUGGGACCCUAGGGUUGUAUUUAAAUAUAAUAAGCAUCCCAGGUGAUUCUAAUGCUGGUGGGCUACCAACCACAGUUUAACACACAUUGUUUUAUAUCAUUGAGUCAAAACAUUAAAUAAAUUUAUUUAAGAACCAUAGUUGAAAAUUAUGUCAUUCUGAUACCAGUCUUGGAGAUCAGGAAUGGGUCUUUGUUCCCCUGGUGUUUAGGAUUAAACACCCUGAGAAACACCCAGGCAAGUGUAGAAAGCAUAUUUUAUAUAAGAAAGAGACAGGGACAGCAGACUUCUCUGAAGAGAAUUGGUACCGCUGGUUAUCUGUCAGUGACUAGUCCUGCUUCCUCACCUGUUGAAGUUUGAAGCGUGCCAAGGCAUGCAUAUAAUGCAGGGUUUAUUUAAAAGGGGAUAACAUAGACUUCUCCUAGGAGGGAAGAGGGGGCCAGAGCUGAUGUCCUGGUAUCCCUAGAAGUGAGGUGUUCUGCCCUUUUUAUAUGUCCUAGGUUUCCUUUGUUCUCCUGCCUCUCCCCCUUAUCUUUCUCCUUCCUGCUAUGGGACUAGGCCUAGGCAGUGACUAGACCUAGGAAAUGCUUAGUGGGAUGGCCAAAAGGUGGGAAACAGGUGGGCUGAAGUGGGAAGGGCAGGAUGGUGCAGCCCACAUUAAUUAACAACCUUAUAGCUCCCUGUAGGGAGCUAUUUCUGGGACUGGUUACCUUAGCAACAGGUUGGAGCAGGGGUGGUUCUUGGGUGGAGGAAGGGCUCUGAAGGAAUUAACUCAGGGGACAGUCUCCAACUAACCAGACUCACUCAAAAUUGGCCUCCUUAAACCCACCUUCCACCAUGCGGCCAGCGCACUGGUUUCAUUAAUGAGGUUCUUGGCAUAAAUUAGCUACCAGAGAUCCAAAUAAAACACACAGACUCAGUUACCUUUUUCUAUGACCAGGUCUGAGAUGGCUCCCCUCUCUGGCUGCCACCUCGAACCACCCGUAGGGCAGCAAGGAUUACUCAGGGCUAGCAGGAGAGAGCGUGAGCACGCCAGGGAGUAGCCUUUUAUUGGGGAACAAGAAAUUCAUGGGAGAAUUCCAUCCAAUGAAGGUUGAGGGGGGCCGCACUCCAAGGUCAGGGUCAAUGAUUGGCCCCCGGGGUCAGUGGUCAGUCACACCCCCCACGGACGGGUUCUCUCAUCAGGAGAGGGCCGAGAAAGCUUCCACACAGAUUAGCCAGAGCGCCUCAGACCCAAACAGGGAGUUGCCCAGUCACGUGUGAGAAUGGCUCUCCACACCACCUGACUUAAUUGACCUGUUUAUACUGACUGUCUCUCUAGUUCUGGCUUCAGAAGUGGGCAAAGAGCUGGGUGUCAGUAGGAGUGGGGUGUGUCUUGCUGUUUUAUAGACCCCAGAACCCCACCCCCCACCACCUUUUUCUUCUUUGUGCAUAUGCCUAAGGGUAAGAAGGAGCUGGAACACUUGGGAUAAUCAAUAGCAGCUCAUUGUGCUGGGAAGUGUGAUCCCCAGGUUAGCUGUUAGCAACCCAUCUGUCUUUUCUUUGAUAACCAGCCCUUAUUUUCUCAACCCCCAUCAUUUAUUACCUACACUGACUGCCAGACCUUCUUACCCCUGAGUCAGUUUGCUGAGGAAUGUGACAUAUCCUGUCCCCUCAGGCCAGGUGGGGCUGCAGAUAGAUUAACUCACCAUCCUCAUUUAUCUGUCCUCUUAUACUUCCAUAAAUGUUGAAAUAAAAAUCUUAAAAGAUUCCUUCAGAA
Molecule: long non-coding RNA, 5852 nt
Filed under: Ictidomys tridecemlineatus (thirteen-lined ground squirrel)
Lineage: Eukaryota; Metazoa; Chordata; Mammalia; Rodentia; Sciuridae
Description: lncRNA (ENSSTOG00000029222.2)
Source: RNAcentral